UAUUCAAAAGCUCUUAUAAUGAUCCCCUCCUAAGGGACAGGCCACUGGUUCGACUCCAGUCGGGAGCACCA
Molecule: transfer RNA, 71 nt
Filed under: Aeromonas salmonicida
Lineage: Bacteria; Pseudomonadati; Pseudomonadota; Gammaproteobacteria; Aeromonadales; Aeromonadaceae
Description: tRNA-Arg
Rfam family: tRNA (bases 10-68)
About the family: Transfer RNA (tRNA) molecules are approximately 80 nucleotides in length. Their secondary structure includes four short double-helical elements and three loops (D, anti-codon, and T loops).
Source: RNAcentral